RNAcentral lists this ribosomal RNA (137 nucleotides) under uncultured eukaryote. RNAcentral's name for it is "partial 18S ribosomal RNA". It matches the Rfam family "Eukaryotic small subunit ribosomal RNA", at positions 1299 to 1458 of the family's 1831-position model. The record is from RNAcentral.
UGGUGGGGUGACUUGUCUGCUUAACUGCGAUAACGAACGAGACCUUAACCUGCUAAAUAGCCCGCAUUGCUCCGGCAGUGCGCUGGCUUCUUAGUGGGACUUUCGGCUCAAGCCGAAGGAAGUUUGAGGCAAUAACA